AAAAGUUUUGUGUUUUGAUUCAAAGUUUUGAUUUAUUUCAUAAAGUUUAUGUUUUAUGUUUUUUCAAAUGUUUAAAUGUUUUAGAUAUUUGUUUAAAUGGUGAUAGAAAUAAUGGUGGGUGUGAAAGGAUUAAUUCCCUUCACCACUUGUGCACUUGCAUGCUUUAUGUCAAAACUCACAAAUCAACACACACAUCACUCACAUCUCCUCUCCAAAACCGGCCACCCUACAUGUAGGGUACUUUUGGGGCUUUUAUGCAAUUACAUAAAGUUUUGAUACUUUUGUGUAUUUGCACUUUGGCCCAAAAGUUUACGUUUUUACGUUUAGGUCCAAAAACGCUAAAGGACAAAUUGUUUUGCUCCUUUAAUGAAGUUUUUGCAUUAUUUAAAUUUUGGGUUCUAGUGUAAUUACAUGAAGUAGUGGACUUUUGUGUUCUUACAAAGUGACCCCA
Molecule: long non-coding RNA, 451 nt
Filed under: Malus domestica (apple)
Lineage: Eukaryota; Viridiplantae; Streptophyta; Magnoliopsida; Rosales; Rosaceae
Description: long non-coding RNA (MDOM_LNC019619)
Source: RNAcentral